UCAACUUGGAUUUUGCAGUAGUUGCGAAUGAACACAAACUUGAUCACAUUGAUAAUCUUUGCAUGUUUUGUGCACAGRCAUGUUUGUUUUUGGCGCAAUGCUAUCAGAGCUGCACGCAAUUGUUUUUUKWWAGGAAACAACAUGGGAUGUGACAUUCAUGUAUGUGUGUGUGCUUUGUCCACAGCUUGUGCUUCUUGAGUCACAUUUCUUGCAACUGAAAUGCAAAUGGCAUGGKAAAGUUCAUGUGACAUGACACAUGAUUGAGAUUCAUGAUGUGCAAGUACCAUGAGGGAAAUGUGAAAAGGACUUUGGAAAGAGAAUUAAAGAAAGCCUGCAAUUGCUAGUCCUAAAAGCAAGUGAGAAUAUGUAUAACAAUGUUACUGCAUCAUUUAACGAUUUCCUUUGUUAUGUAUGUCUUCCAUUUCAAUAUCAGUUCACAAUCAUUGUGUGUACUAUCUUUGCUUCAAGUGCAUUAUUUAAAUGUAGUUGAAACUUUGUGUGAGCAUUGUGAGUGACACUAUGUAGACAUCAGUGUGAUCUACGUCUUGUCUGCUUUCACACAUGUGAUUUGCUUAUGUGGUUCCUCUGUGCACUACCUCA
This 600-nucleotide ribosomal RNA is filed under the name Ostreopsis sp. TB38OS. Its description in RNAcentral is "eukaryotic LSU rRNA". It matches the Rfam family "Eukaryotic large subunit ribosomal RNA", at positions 65 to 619 of the family's 3401-position model. The record is from RNAcentral. Lineage: Eukaryota; Dinophyceae; Peridiniales; Ostreopsidaceae.